AUGAGUAAAGCUACAAAGAACAUGCCAGUUGAAGACAUUCCCUCGACUGUAUUUUCCAGUUUUUUAUGCAUCCAAGGAUUCAGAGAAAGCAUCUCCUACUGGCAAGACACAUUAGCUAAGCACACCAGAAACUUCUCCAUGAAAGAAGAAUCCCAUGAUAGGUCUUCUGAUCCACCAGAGAUCAGAUAUAAAGGCUCUCAGCUGGAGUUUUACCAACUGCCAGCUGCUGUCAUUACACACAGGCCAUAAUGGGAACCUCCUGCUAUCUGUAUGUUCUGGGUAAUGGCUAAGCCUGGUACAGUUAUGUCUCCCCAGACUUGCCAGCUCUAUGUCCUCACAUCCCCGCAGUGUUCAGGGAAAAUUCAGUUACUCAGGAACAACAAUGUACUGUUAUAAAUACAUUGAUUUAUCUAGCUGGGCCUUGAAGCAGUAUUACUGAAUGUAACUGCUCCAUGUGAGCAAAUAAAAUCUGCUGUAAUUGUGCUGGCCUGUAUUAUGAACUCUUCUUAGCUUAAGACCAUGAUUUCAGCCACAUAACUAGAUUAAGAGUUGGAAUGGCAAGAGUCACAUUUAGGAUAAGACAAGGGUUUAAGGUUCAGGUUGACAAGGUCUAUGAUGUAGGGUUAAGGGUGGAUGUAGAAGGCUCCACUGAGGUAAUGUUGGGGCUUGUGCCAAUAUGACAUCCCUAUCUAAUUUUAGGUUUUCAUCUUACAGAAUUUUGCAUGUCAAGAUUAAUUCUAAGAUUUUUGUCGGGAAAAAGGUUAGGCCAGCAGGGGCUGAUGAAGAAAGAUCAGUACUGGACUGAGAAGAAGCCCAUGCUAAAUUUAGGGCUGAUGCCAAGAGAAGCAUUAAUCCAACAUGAGUGCAAAUCCUUCCUUAACUUUAAUGCAGUGGGCCCUUCCAGCCUCAUAAAAACCAAAGAGGCCACAACCGUGAUCAAACCUUGAAACUCUUGCCAGAUCCAGAACUAAACAAAACUCAUUGACCUUGCUUGCCUGUGCCCUCUUCCAUCACCUAAACCUUAAGCCCAAAUCUCUUCCAGCAGACCUAGCCACCCCCAGCCAUUCCCAGACCCAAACCUGGGUCAGGUUGUCAGUCUGGGUGGCAAAUUUAACUCCAGGACAUGUUUUUGUCCCAUCAUGAAUUAUAACCACCCUUGAGAUCUAAAAAAACACUUUAAGUUAGUCUUAAAUUUAAUCUUACUGGUUCCUGCCAGCCCCAGAUCCCAAUGUUAAGCUGGGCUGAUGUAACAGACUUUGCAUGAUGUCUGGAAGGAGUUGAUAAACUGGUUUAGGAUUGGUGUUAAAAUUACAGUUUUGGGCAGCAAAGACCAAGGACUUCAGUUUGUGGCUGUCUCCAGCAGAAAUCUGACAGGCAUCAACAUGGACCACAUCACUAAUUUCAGAUCUGGGGCUGGAAAAGGUCAUUAGAUUCCCGUAGGCUGAAGAGUCUACAACCGUUGGAGUAUUUCCUCUUCCAAAAUCGGGCAACAAGCCCAGCAGUCAUGAGUCUAUAUGUUUCAGGCCAUGAACAUUAAAGGCCUCUUCUGUGGUAUUUGGUAUACACUCAUGUAAAUAACUUCACGGUGAGACAACCUAAGAAUAAAAUCUAAGUGACAGAAUACUUUUCUUCCUUUUAAUAAUCACAAUAUUAUUUUUAAAAUUACUUAGAAAAAUACAAAGGUUAUGAAGUCCAGAUCUCAAAAGCUGGGAAACAUAAAUGAAACUUAAUUAAUUAAAUUAAUUAAGUGCAUGCAUGCAAGUGCAUUGCAAUUCAGCCUUUAAUUGCAUGACAACAUAGUGGUUUUGCUUGUGUUAUUGAAUGCACUGGGUGAGUAUCCCUCCUCACUGUGAGAAGAAAUGUACCAGGGCUGGGUAGUUAAUAGUGGUAUAAUUAGUAGGUUCCUUAACUUAGAAACUGAAAAAAACAUAAAAAGUCUAGAGAAUAGGGAAAACUAUUCCAGAAAGGAAAAAUAAAAACAUCACAAUUAAAGACAAUCGAGAAUUUGGACAUGCAAAAUACUGUGCUGGUGCUAAAAAAAUAUUUUUAAAUGUUUCAAAUCAUUAAACCAAAAUGAGGGUCAUCUGACAAUAUCUCUAGAUUAGAAAGCUUAGCUGUAGGUCAAAAAUAGGAACACUACUUGCAUUCACAACAGUGUUAUGAAGAAAAUCUGGUUAAUCCAGAUUAAUUCAGAUGUCAUGAAGACAGAAGCACAAGAGUGCCUGCAAAGAAAUACAUCACUAUUGAGCUGGAUAUAUUAAAAAAGCAUUUGCAAGGGGAAUAUUGGAAGACAUACUGACAAUGUACAUGCUCUCAUCUUACAGGGGAAAAUAGCACGUAAGGAUUUUUAAAACCCACCUAUGUACCUUUGUGCAUAUGUUCUGAUAUUUAAAAAAAAAAAAAAAAAAAAAAAAAAGGCAUAAAAUUGUUCCAGGAAACAUGUCAAGAAUAUAAAAAAACUAGAUGUCAAAGUUAGCAACCAGUCACUCAAGCUCAACCAGAAAAAAAUCAGAAGUAAAAAUAAAGCAUUGAGACUGUCUACAUGCUUAAAAUAAGACAGGCUCAGUUUUCUGUCCUGAAUUUGGACCUGAAUGAGGACUCAGUGGAAAUAACAGAAGCUAUUGCACAUUUUUACACCGUAGUGACAUCAGUACAUAUGCUGGUGAGACGCUUCAGUGCCCAGCACUUAUAGCUUGGUGAGCCUCACUUAACCCGCUGGCCCAGGUCAAUACACGCAUAAAAUCAUGAGGACUCUUGGUCAUGAUCCAUUCCAAAGUAAUUUUCUUUGCAAAAAGAUUAAAUAGGCACUUCAGUCAUUCACAUGAAUGUAAUUCAUCAGUAAUACCUAUGAGAACAAGACCAGAAGCUAAUAUGUCUGAUUUAAAUUAGUUUUAACUUCUCUGCUUUGUUGUGAGGACAAUAAUACAUUCUUUGUCCCUACUCUUGAAAGGGGUUGUUGUAAGGACUAAUUAAUGUGUGCUAUAUAAUUCUGCUAAGACUGAGAAAAUUGCUUAAUAAAACCAAAUUCCUGAGGGGUUUAUGACUAUAAUUUGCUCACUCAGAACUUCCAUUAAAUAAUAACAAAAAGCUACAGAAUGUGCUGGAUGUUAAACCAGGGUUUAAGGAAGGACAGGGUCUAAGUAUGGCAUUGAGCAUGGACAGUAGUUGUGAAAAGUGUAGGGAGGGAUGGCUUUCCAGCUGCGCCCAGAAAUUAGAGCUGUAUUAGGAAUUUUUCUUUCUGUUUUUUACAAAGCAAAACAAACUGCUAAUUCCAUAAAUAUUAAAUGUAUUGGUGAGAAAAAACAUACUUUAUAUGUUUAGUUACUGUGAUGAAAUAUGUUCUAGACAUAGACAGAUUCUUCAUCCUUCCAGUCUACUGUAAGGAUGAGCAUUGCAUACAAUCCAUGGAAAAUUCUUGACUAUAAAUCUCACAGAGGCGGCUCCAUAGCCUCAUAUACAAAAUGCUCUUGCUAUUCUGACAUGUGAGAGCAUUCUCAGGCAAAAAGCAAUAGAAAGUUACUACAGGGAAAACUUGCUAAAUUUUGCCCCUGGAGUAAGUAGAGUUGCUUUAGUCCUGCCUAAUACACAGAUAGUUCUGACUCAGAAAACUGGAAAUAACUUUUCAGCAGCCAUCCCACCCCGAUACGUUCAAGCAGAAGGCAUAAAGCAUAAGGUUCUUGAACUCUGCUUCACAACACAUGGAAUUGGCUCUAAAUUGAAAAAUCAACAUGGAUGACAACCAAACCCUGUAAUUCUUUAGUAGUAGUAUUAGCAUUAAUGUAGUGAAUCCCAAGAAAUUUAUAAAUUUAUAUUAUUUAUAAAUUUAGACAUCAUUAUUCUAGAUGUUAUACAAUCAAAAAUAAUGGUUCCUGUGUCAAAGAGUUUCAUGUGCAAGUGUAACUUGAAACACAGCAGAAUGAUAGAGGAAAUAUAAGAAAAUAAAUAGGUAAUUGGUAUAACAGCAUUAUCAUCUCAUGGUAUUGACUGGUCUGCUCCUGGGGGGAGGCAGCACAGAAAAGGAAUGUUAAUGACAGACCAGCAGGAAAAUGAUGAUGUAUCUUGGUAAGCAAUUAUGAGAUGCAGAAAGGGUGGACUAGAAAAAUGCCACUGAGAAAUCUAAUGAGUAGGCAAAGGAGGCAUCAAAGGUCAGUUGAAAACAACAGUCAGUUAUUCAUUUUUCCCUGCCUUUAACUUAUUAUGUGACUUCAGACAAAGCACACUGGUCAGGAUUUCCAGAAGCAGCUUCAGUGACUCAGUUUUUUAGAUGUCUAGUUAGAAGCCUUUAGAAGCACCUGGCUUUCAGAAAGCACAUAACUCACUUGUUUAGAAAAAUCAGGUCUCUUUAUGUGGUUUAUGUUGGACACCAGCACUCACCUAUUCACCCCAAAACUCAAACCGCUUCUGACAUUGUUGGCGUGUAUAACACUUGACUUUUCUUACCCUUAAAAAGGAAACAAAAAUGAUUACUUGAGUUGGGUGUUUCACUGCACUAGUUCCCGAAUGCAUGUGUGAAGCAAUGGACGAAAGGCAACCCAAAAGCGAAUAGUUAUGAAUGUGUAUUAAUCAGUGAUUGCAAAAAGCUGGUAUAUACCUUUAAACAGUGGGAAAGGUAAUUAGUAUGGUAAGACUACACCAGAUAUAUAGAUACAUAGGCAAAUAAGGCUACUGCCAGCUAGAAUAUUAGGGAGAAACAAAGCGAGUCCAAAAAUCACACGUAGUAAACUUUCUAGCUGUAUCUGAGAUUUUGAAUCUGUUUAUCCCAUAAAACAAAACAUAUUAUUUCCCAGGGAAUCAGAAAUGAAUAGAGCUGCAAUUCUCCAGUCACAUCAGGAAACCAAUAUAGGUGAAAGAAGAUGUAGGUUUUAUAGAUCAUUCUAUCAUAGGGAGCCAGUGCUGUGUGAACAUCAAAGAAGCUAUUUUCCAUGCUAUUUCUCUAUCCUGCUUUUAAACUAAAUUCUAGAGAAGAUUGCUGCACAUUAGUUAUGUUUCUCACAUGAGUAAUAAUGGACUAAUCAUGCAAAUUUACAACAUUACCAAAGCAAUCACAGCUAAAUUAAAAGCAGUCUGUUUUAUUAAUGACUAUGACUCAGAAUAAUUCCUCCAUCUCUUCUGCUGUGAAAGAAGCUUACAGAGUCCAACAACCGAGCAUCCUGUAAUCUGUCCAUGAACUGAUAAAUCCUCAGACCUCAAAGGUGCUGCUGCUGCUAUGCCCACAUGAUGGGGAGACCCAUCCCACCACUCAGACCUCUGACUCAGGAAGGACCUGCCAUCCUGAAUAACUGAAUGGAUGAUAUCUAGCAGAGCAUCUCCCAUCACAUUGCAGAUCUCAUUACAUACAAGAGAGUACUGCUACCCCAAAGAUCUCCUGUGAUGUGACUUGGUGCUUUGCAUUACAUGAACAGGCAACUCUCAAGGCUGGAAGAAUUGUUUCACUUUGUUGAACUCCACAUGGUAUUUUGCUACCACAUUUUACAAGAUUUAUAAAACACGCAUUUUCAUUUCAAUAAACACUUGUACUUCUUCAAUG
Molecule: long non-coding RNA, 5527 nt
Organism: Tyto alba (common barn owl)
Lineage: Eukaryota; Metazoa; Chordata; Aves; Strigiformes; Tytonidae
Exons: 3
Source: RefSeq, a predicted model, not a curated record